Molecule: microRNA precursor, 110 nt
Organism: Gallus gallus (chicken)
Lineage: Eukaryota; Metazoa; Chordata; Aves; Galliformes; Phasianidae
Source: Ensembl
CGGCGUGUGGGUGUGAGAGAGGAAGGCAGCGAAGGCUGCAGGGCGGUCAGGCGGAGGAAGCCGCUGGGCUGUGCCUGCAAUCGGUGCGUUGCCCCUUUAAUUGUGUCCCC